Molecule: ribosomal RNA, 253 nt
Filed under: uncultured bacterium
Lineage: Bacteria
Description: partial 16S ribosomal RNA
Rfam family: Bacterial small subunit ribosomal RNA
Source: RNAcentral
UACAGAGGGUGCGAGCGUUGUCCGGAAUCACUGGGCGUAAAGGGCGCGUAGGCGGCUUGAUAAGCGUGCGGUGAAAGCCCGGGGCUCAACCCCGGGUCGGCCGUGCGAACUGUCGAGCUGGAGCACUGUAGAGGCAGGUGGAAUUCCGGGUGGAGCGGUGGAAUGCGUAGAGAUCCGGAAGAACACCGGUGGCGAAGGCGGCCUGCUGGGCAGUGGCUGACGCUGAGGCGCGACAGCGUGGGGAGCAAACAGG